RNAcentral lists this ribosomal RNA (17 nucleotides) under Pseudomonas savastanoi pv. phaseolicola. RNAcentral describes it as "partial 16S ribosomal RNA". The record is from RNAcentral. RNAcentral also lists the same sequence under 1 other name. Lineage: Bacteria; Pseudomonadati; Pseudomonadota; Gammaproteobacteria; Pseudomonadales; Pseudomonadaceae.
GCUGGAUCACCUCCUUA